Molecule: unclassified non-coding RNA, 1848 nt
Filed under: Portunus trituberculatus (swimming crab)
Lineage: Eukaryota; Metazoa; Arthropoda; Malacostraca; Decapoda; Portunidae
Description: mOB kinase activator-like 1, transcript variant X1
Source: RNAcentral
UCCUCUCCCACAAUGCUCAGCGCCAGUGUCAGCCAUGUUGGGUUUUCCUUGACUACGUGUGUGUCUGCUUAAUCUCUACAUUCUGGCGUCAUCCUUUCCUCACGUUGCUAUUUUCUCCGUGAUAACAAAACCUGAGUGUGUUGUGACUCCUUCUGGUGAGGAAGGAGAGUGAUAGCGCCACAGACUCACCACCAUGAGCUUCCUUUUUGGGAGCCGGGCAAGCAAGACCUUCAAACCCAAGAAGCACAUCCCAGAGGGCACCCACCAGUAUGACUUGAUGAAGCAUGCAGCCGCGACGCUGGGUUCUGGCAACCUGCGCUCGGCUGUCAUGCUUCCUGAGGGAGAGGACCUCAAUGAAUGGGUUGCUGUCAACACUGUGGACUUCUUCAAUCAGAUCAACAUGCUGUAUGGUACCAUAACAGAGAUGUGCACUGAUGAGUCCUGCCCUGUGAUGUCUGCUGGGCCCAAGUAUGAGUACCACUGGGCUGAUGGGCAGACUGUUAAAAAGCCCAUCAAGUGCUCUGCCCCCAAGUAUAUUGACUACCUCAUGACGUGGGUGCAGGACCAACUGGAUGAUGAAACACUCUUCCCCUCAAAGAUUGGUGUACCAUUUCCAAGAAACUUCCAGAGCAAUGCCAAGACCAUACUGAAGCGACUCUUUCGGGUUUAUGCACACAUCUACCACCAGCACUUCUCUGAGGUGGUUCAGCUGGGGGAGGAGGCCCACCUCAACACCUCCUUCAAACACUUCAUCUUCUUUGUUCAGGAAUUUCAGUUGAUAGAGCGGAAGGAGCUGGCACCCCUUCAGGAGUUGAUCGACAAACUCACUGCCAAGGAUCGAUGAUUCUAAGUGAGAGAAGUAUCCGUCUUGCUUGGAGGCUUGAGAGCAUGGAGUGAAGUAAGAUGUUUGCUUAGCGAGGAGCUGUGAUGAGCUGAGAGCUUGGGCUUUACUUUCUCUUAUGAUUGUUGAUUCCAGUGUUGGUAAGUUAUUUAGCUUUAUUAUGUUUUCUGUAGAUGGAAAAAAAUGAGGCUGGAGGAAUCUGAUGUCAGCUGUGGGCUGUAGAUGCUACACAGUGGCAGUGAAAUUCAGUUGCAGCUUGACAUUUUCUUGUGAGUCUCCAUUGAUAAGUAUAUUAUGUAAUACCUGAAUCUCUGAAUGCAAGAGAAAUAUUUAUAUUGUAAAAUUUUGAUUCAUGUCAGCAUCUGUUUCUUCACAAAAUGUAACACCAUACACAUUCAUAAUAUGUAUAAGUGUUUCUUUGUCACUGGAGUAUCAAUUGGAUUCCCUUUAUGUAAAUAUUUGAAAAUAGAUUUUAAACAAACAUGUUUUUUUAUCAGGUACCAAGCAGUCCAUAACUGAAAAAUCCCAAGUUUAUGUACUUUAGCUAUGAAUUAAAAGAUAAGCACUAUAGGGGAAGUUUUAGUUUGUGAUGCCAAUGGACACCACACCAAAGACUGAGGUGACACUUAUCUUCUUUCACAACAGAGUUGCUCCAAAUCUCUCAUGUGAACAUAGUGAUGUUCACUAUGUAUUCUACCAAACAAAGUUUAGCAGGAUUUUUUGCAACUUGAAUUUGACUAAGUAGCUACUCUUGAUCUCUAUACUGAGCUUGGGACCUGAUAUUGGCGUCAGUUCAGCACACUGGACCUUUGCAGUUAGUGUUCUGUAGGUGGCAGUGUAGCCUCAAGUUCCUAUGAAAGGCACAACACAUGAGGGUCAGAUUCCAGUCAGUAUGCAAAGUGUAUAGUUAAAUGUAACUAUUUACUACCCAAUGUAAUAACCACUAAAAUUCAUAUUUUAUGAACCUGGAGUCAUGUAUUUCGGUUUCAAUAAAUAUUUUUAUCUUA